UGUUAUAUGCCUUUAUUGUCACAUACUGCUUUUUUGUUGGUCCAUUGCGAAACGUACUGAUUUGCCGACAAGAAACUGACAAGCCCGAACAGAUGUUCGGGCUUUUUUUUGCGU
This 114-nucleotide small RNA is filed under the name Citrobacter farmeri. Its description in RNAcentral is "MicC RNA". The record is from RNAcentral. Lineage: Bacteria; Pseudomonadati; Pseudomonadota; Gammaproteobacteria; Enterobacterales; Enterobacteriaceae.